RNA transcript from Musa acuminata AAA Group (dessert banana), 2753 nucleotides. RefSeq lists it as uncharacterized. Lineage: Eukaryota; Viridiplantae; Streptophyta; Magnoliopsida; Zingiberales; Musaceae. The transcript is spliced from 3 exons. The record is from RefSeq and is a predicted model, not a curated record.
AGCUCUCCUGUAAGCCUGCGUUCUUUCCUUUCUCCGCGUCCCCUUUCGUGCUUGCUAAGCUAAGAGUUCGAUAAAUAUCGCAAAAAUUGCUGCUUCUCUUCUAUCUUAAGAGAGAGAAGGGGAGCGGAAGGAGAUGAAAGGGAAGGGAAAGAUCCACCCAUCGCCCCCGCCGCAUGACGCCCUGGCGGUGCUCGGCCUCCUCCCGGCGGCGAUCCUCGCGCUGACGGCGGCGCUGCGGGAGGAGGACAAGGAGGUGCUCGCGUACCUCCUCACGCGGUCGAUCGACGGUCCGGCGGCCGCGGCGGAGGAGCGGCGGCAUUGCCGGAGGCCAGGUAGCGCAACCCAGCACCUGCCGGUCUUCGGCUGCGGGUGCUUCGACUGCUACACCGGGUUCUGGUCGCGCUGGGAUUGCUCCCCCGACCGCGAGCUCAUCCACCAGGCCAUCGAGGCGUUCGAGGAGCACCUCGCGAGCGCGGAGAAGAAGGGCGCGAGGGGGCGGCGGGCGGAACGCAAGGCCGCCGAGCGGGCGGUCAAGGGCAAGGGCAAGAAAGGCAAGGAGAAGGAGAAGGAGAAGGUUCGGAGACUGGCGGUGGAGGCGGAUAAGGCUCAAAAACAGCCGGAGGAGGCGGAGAAGCAUCUCGAGGUGACGACGCCUGGGGGAUCGGAGGGGUUCGCUAGCGAAGAGGCCCCGGUGGGAGCGGAAGCGGGAGCCGCGACGAAGACGGCGGCCGCGGAGGAGGAGGGUGUGGAGGCAGAGGCGGGGAACGGCGAGCGGCGAAGGGGAUGGGCGGACGUGAUGGGGAUGUUCCAUUCGCGUUUGUGGAGCCUUUGGGGUCCGGGCGCGUGAGGCAUCAUCAUUGAGGUGACGGAGAAAUUAGACGCUAAAAAAAGGUUUGACAGGGAAGCAGUAGCCAACUGAAGAAAACAAAGACUUCUUCUUGGUUUGGUGGUCAUUUAAAUCCAAGUCAUGAUCCUUCUAGCUUUACUGCAAAGUCAAUGCAAGGUUGGUAGCAAGUGCAACCUCUGUCUGUACUUUAAUGCUUUUAAUAUUCUUGUUUGUGCCAAACUCCAUUAGAACCCUAGGAAAGAUUUGGAAGAACAUGGUUCCACCAAUGAAACAAACACUUGAAUGCACCCCCCAACAGUCAGUCCCUUGAAAGAUUAUGAAAAGGCAAUAAUGCUGCUUCUCACCUCAUUUUUCUACAUUGAUGGAUGUUGGAAUGAAAUGGAACUUCUUCUCCAAAUUUGCUCCACAAAGAGUAGUUAUUGGCAUAAUUAGUCUUUUUCUAAUAAAUUGUGAUAAAAUUUAAUUGGUUGGAUAAUAUUAGUUGAAAUAAAUUUAUUUCAAAAACCUUUUUGAGUCUCACAUCUCUCAUUGAAUGAUUGUGUCAUGCGUACCCUCGAUGCUCAUGACUCAAAAAAAAAUAUUCUCGAGUGAGUCAUCAUCUAAUCCCCUCCGAGAUUCAAUUGUUAGAAUAUAAUAAUAUUCAGAAAGUGGGUUAGAUAAACCUAUGACUCCAUUAAUUAGCACGAGACGAAGUCUAAUUCUGAAAUUAAUAAUUACAACUUGCUAAGCCCACAGAGAAUAAGUCCAAUGCAACGUUGGAAGACCAGAUUCAUAGAAUAGACGAUCGAUAAAUGCCAUCAUAAUAAUCGGAUAAAUCGAGAAACACGUACGAAUACUAUAGAACUCCGCACAUUUUUAUGUACAUUAAAUUAAAGGUCACGAGCUAACAUGAUUUGCACUAAAAACGAUUCAAAUUGCAUCGAGAUUAGCAAACAACAGAUGCACAAGUUGAUGCAAUCUUGAGAACCAUUUCGCACGCGGACACGUGGCCGAAGUCUCAUCCACCCUUUACAAUGAAUGGCGGCACCCUUCGCUUGCUUGCCGGUCACGACUCUCUCUCUCUCUCUCUCUCUCUCUCUCUCUCUUCUCUCCCCCAACAGCCGCCACCGUCCACCCACCACUCCAUAUAUACAUGGAAAGCUCCCUGCAACGACCACCGUCGUCUGCCUUGCCUUCCCCUCGGCGCUCCUUCCUAGCUAGCCGUCCGAUAUGAUCAGUAGCGCCCAGGUUCCAUCUGAAGCGCAAGGAGCUCAUCAGGUGGAAUCGCCUCUCGAGGAGGAGAAGAAGGUGCAGCAGCAGAAGCAGCGGUACGCCUUCCACACCAGGAGUCAUGUGGACAUACUCGACGAUGGCUAUCGCUGGAGGAAGUACGGCCAGAAGGCAGUGAAGAAUAACAAGUUCCCAAGAAGCUACUACCGGUGCACACAUCAAGGCUGCAAUGUGAAGAAGCAAGUGCAGCGGCUAUCCAAAGACGAAGGCAUUGUGGAGACGACUUACGAGGGAGUCCACAACCAUACCACGGAGAAACCAAUCGACAGCUUCGGGCAUGUGCUAGAGCAGAUGCAGAUCUAUUCUUAAUUUUGAUGUCCCCACAAGGAAUCUGAAGCCUCUGUGAAGAGAGGAGUAUAUAUGAACAAGGAAAGAAAGAAACUACUGUGAUGAAGACACAGGGAUUGAUGCACAACAAUAACAAGGGUUUAGGAAUUCUUGUUUGCUCCAAGUUAUUCUGAGAUUUGUUGCACAAGGAACAUGCUGUGUAUGGAUUAUGUGGCGGAUGUGAUUUCUCUAAUUAAUGAAACCACCAUGAUCGUGUGGAGUUUAAGUUGACCGAUAGAAAUCGUUCAAAUACUGAUCGUGUGUCUGUAAAUUAAUUCUCUAAAUCAAAGAUGAUAGAUGGUGGCUAUGA